GCCUUACACAUGCAAGUCGAACGGCAGCACGGACUUCGGUCUGGUGGCGAGUGGCGAACGGGUGAGUAAUGUAUCGGAACGUACCUUCAGUGGGGGAUAACGUAGCGAAAGUUACGCUAAUACCGCAUAUUCUGUGAGCAGGAAAGCAGGGGAUCGCAAGACCUUGCGCUGAUUGAGCGGCCGAUAUCAGAUUAGCUAGUUGGUGGGGUAAAGGCCUACCAAGGCUACGAUCUGUAGCGGGUCUGAGAGGAUGAUCCGCCACACUGGAACUGAGACACGGUCCAGACUCCUACGGGAGGCAGCAGUGGGGAAUUUUGGACAAUGGGGGCAACCCUGAUCCAGCCAUGCCGCGUGAGUGAAGAAGGCCUUCGGGUUGUAAAGCUCUUUCGGCCGGGAAGAAAUCGCAUAGGCUAAUACCCUGUGUGGAUGACGGUACCGGAAUAAGAAGCACCGGCUAACUACGUGCCAGCAGCCGCGGUAAUACGUAGGGGUGCGAGCGUUAAUCGGAAUUACUGGG
RNAcentral lists this ribosomal RNA (517 nucleotides) under uncultured bacterium. RNAcentral's name for it is "bacterial SSU rRNA". It matches the Rfam family "Bacterial small subunit ribosomal RNA", at positions 46 to 558 of the family's 1533-position model. The record is from RNAcentral.